CUGCCACAGACGACGGAACGUGGGUCUGAAAGUCAGGGAAAUAGCCGACCUAGUAGUCCUACUUGGUGAGAAGUGAGGGAAUAUGCAUUAUCCACCGUCGAAUGUCAAAGCAUGGUAUAAGAGUCUCUGGCUUGAAUAAUUCCACUGACAUCGCAACGUUGGAUGCUGGGUGAUUACAGGGAUCCCAGGAUCUCAUCCAAAUUCUGGGUUCAGAAUGAUGCAAGGACAUCUCUGGUUCCGAUGUACAAAGGUUCAGAGACUUCGUGUGCAAGAAUCCAUGCCACGUCUGGAUCCACCGGGAAUUGUCCGCACACUACAACUACAAACUGUUCGCCGUAGAACAGGGGUCUCCAACCCAGUCCUCAAGGCCCACUGUGGGUCCUGGUUUUUGUUCCAGC
Long non-coding RNA from Corythoichthys intestinalis (scribbled pipefish), 398 nucleotides. RefSeq lists it as uncharacterized. The record is from RefSeq and is a predicted model, not a curated record. The transcript is spliced from 3 exons. Lineage: Eukaryota; Metazoa; Chordata; Actinopteri; Syngnathiformes; Syngnathidae.